AUUGAACGCUGGCGGCAGGCCUAACACAUGCAAGUCGAACGGUAACAGGAAGCAGCUUGCUGCUUCGCUGACGAGUGGCGGACGGGUGAGUCAUGUCUGGGAAGCUGCCUGAUGGAGGGGGAUAACUACUGGAAACGGUAGCUAAUACCGCAUAAUGUCGCAAGACCAAAGAGGGGACCUUCGGGCCUCUUGCCAUCGGAUGUGCCCAGAUGGGAUUAGCUUGUUGGUGGGGUAACGGCUCACCAAGGCGACGAUCCCUAGCUGGUCUGAGAGGAUGACCAGCCACACUGGAACUGAGACACGGUCCAGACUCCUACGGGAGGCAGCAGUGGGGAAUAUUGCGCAAUGGGCGCAAGCCUGAUGCAGCCAUGCCGCGUGUAUGAAGAAGGCCUUCGGGUUGUAAAGUACUUUCAGCGGGGAGGAAGGGAGUAAAGUUAAUACCUUUGCUCAUUGACGUUACCCGCAGAAGAAGCACCGGCUAACUCCGUG
This 489-nucleotide ribosomal RNA is filed under the name uncultured bacterium. RNAcentral's name for it is "partial 16S ribosomal RNA". It matches the Rfam family "Bacterial small subunit ribosomal RNA", at positions 30 to 507 of the family's 1533-position model. The record is from RNAcentral.